UACGUAGGGUGCGAGCGUUGUCCGGAAUUAUUGGGCGUAAAGGGCUCGUAGGCGGUCUGUCGCGUCGGGAGUGAAAACUCAGGGCUUAACCCUGAGCCUGCUUCCGAUACGGGCAGACUGGAGUACUGCAGGGGAGACUGGAAUUCCUGGUGUAGCGGUGGAAUGCGCAGAUAUCAGGAGGAACACCGGUGGCGAAGGCGGGUCUCUGGGCCGAUACUGACGCUGAGGAGCGAAAGCGUGGGGAGCGAACAGG
This 253-nucleotide ribosomal RNA is filed under the name uncultured bacterium. Its description in RNAcentral is "partial 16S ribosomal RNA". It matches the Rfam family "Bacterial small subunit ribosomal RNA", at positions 524 to 776 of the family's 1533-position model. The record is from RNAcentral.